Molecule: ribosomal RNA, 460 nt
Filed under: uncultured bacterium
Lineage: Bacteria
Description: partial 16S ribosomal RNA
Rfam family: Bacterial small subunit ribosomal RNA
Source: RNAcentral
CCUACGGGGGGCAGCAGUGAGGAAUAUUGGUCAAUGGACGAGAGUCUGAACCAGCCAAGUAGCGUGAAGGAUGACUGCCCUAUGGGUUGUAAACUUCUUUUAUAUGGGAAUAAAAUGUUCCACGUGUGGGAUUUUGUAUGUACCAUAUGAAUAAGGAUCGGCUAACUCCGUGCCAGCAGCCGCGGUAAUACGGAGGAUCCGAGCGUUAUCCGGAUUUAUUGGGUUUAAAGGGAGCGUAGGUGGAUUGUUAAGUCAGUUGUGAAAGUUUGCGGCUCAACCGUAAAAUUGCAGUUGAAACUGGCAGUCUUGAGUACAGUAGAGGUGGGCGGAAUUCGUGGUGUAGCGGUGAAAUGCUUAGAUAUCACGAAGAACUCCGAUUGCGAAGGCAGUUCACUGGACUGCAACUGACACCGAGGCUCGAAAGUGUGGGUAUCAAACAGGAUUAGAUACCCUAGUAGUC